UACGUAGGUGGCAAGCGUUAUCCGGAUUUACUGGGUGUAAAGGGCGUGUAGGCGGAAGAGCAAGUCAGACGUGAAAUUCCAGGGCUCAACCCUGGAACUGCGUUUGAAACUGUUCUUCUUGAGUGAUGGAGAGGCAGGCGGAAUUCCGUGUGUAGCGGUGAAAUGCGUAGAUAUACGGAGAAACACCAGUGGCGAAGGCGGCCUGCUGGACAUUAACUGACGCUGAGGCGCGAAAGCGUGGGGAGCAAACAGG
This 253-nucleotide ribosomal RNA is filed under the name uncultured bacterium. RNAcentral describes it as "partial 16S ribosomal RNA". It matches the Rfam family "Bacterial small subunit ribosomal RNA", at positions 524 to 776 of the family's 1533-position model. The record is from RNAcentral.